This is a long non-coding RNA of Dermochelys coriacea (leatherback sea turtle), 2518 nucleotides long. RefSeq lists it as uncharacterized. The record is from RefSeq and is a predicted model, not a curated record. The transcript has 2 exons. NCBI's taxonomy places the organism in Eukaryota, Metazoa, Chordata, Testudines, Dermochelyidae.
GGGGGGGUCUGUGCCAGAGGAGGGGGGGUUGCACAUGAGGAGCGGGGGGAGGGGUCUGUGUCAGAGGAGUGGGGGAGGGUCUGUGCCAGAGGAACGGGGGGUGGGGGGGUUGCACCUGAGGAGCGGGGGAGGGUCUGUGUCAGUGGAGCAGGGGGAUCUAGGGAAUCACACCCUGGGGUCUGCUCUUGUGGAAGGUGUUUAGCUGGAGCUUUAUGCCCCACGCCCGCCUAUCUGCGCCCGUUCUCUGGGCUCAUCGCUUUGUGUGCCUUUAAAUCCUCUUUGGCCACGUACUGUGUCAUUUUCACAGUACACCAGGUACUCUAAGUCACCAUUGUCAGGGAGAGGAGCGCCCUGAGAACUGUUCUCUGGGGAGGGGGCAGUUCCCCAAAGCCCAGGGUAGGGCCCCAGGGGAGUGCUGUCCCAGGCUAGGCUGUUCUCAGAGUCCCGCCGGACGGCCAGCGAUGAGAAAGCAGGGACUGUUGACGUGCUGCUGGCCCGUGGCCCUCCUGACCCUGGAUGCGAUGAACUGAGGGGCAAUAACACAUCAGCAUGAGGGGAACCUCCCACUGCUCCAUGUCACAAGGUAGCACCUGACUCCACAGGCACCGGCUGCUUCCUUGCCUAGGGGGUGCUCAAACCCUGCUCUGCACUAGGCCCCGCCCCCACUCCACCCCUUCCCCUGCCCCAUUUCUUCCCACCCAUUUCUUCCCCCUCUCCCCGCUCCUCCCACUCCCCUGCGGCUCCUGCAUGCCGCGGAACAGCUGAUUGCAGCGGGCGGGAGGCACUGGGAGGGAGGGGAAGGAGUUGAUCGGUGGGGCAGCAGGAGGGCAUGAGGUGCUGGGAGGGGGAGGAGCUGGCUGCUGGUGGGUGCUAAGCACCCACUAAUUUUUCCCCAUGGGUGCUCCAGCCCUGAAGCACCCAUGGAGUCAGCGCCUAUGCCUGACUCACCUGCUGGUGCCUGUAGCUGCACCCAAGUCCAGGAGCCAGGAGUCCAGGAAUCUGAGGUCCUGCAAGUCCCAGUUUCUAAAAGGGGGCAGCCCGCGCGGCCAGCCCAAGGCACAGCCCUGCCAAUGUGUUGAUCAAUAUGCAGGUGUGCUCAGAUGGGGCCCCGUCUGCCUUGCUGUGCUUGGUCGCCUGGGACUGGGCCUUGCAGCCGCUUGGUACAGCCAGUGUGAGCACAGUGGGCUCAAGGCUUGGUGGGGGCCCAGAUGCUGCAUGGUGCAGUGGGCAAGCCGGGCAGGGCACAUGGAAGCAGAAUGCCAGCCCUAGGCCACAGGCCCUGAUUGUUAUGGAGGGGCUCUGUUCUCACUUCUCCCUGCUGAGGGCUGGUGUCGUCAUUCUGCCAUCGGACGGUGGGAACAAUCUGCAGCGAGCUCAGGCUCUCACACACUGCACAGGUAGGCUGCCAAGCGUGACUUGCUCUAAGCUGGUGAGGAGUGAAUGGCCUGCCAGGCUGGCCAAUGAGAAAUGAAACCACCCUGCUUUCAGGUCUGACCAACACCCCAAGUUCUCAUGUGAGUGUCAGACACACGACACCUGCCUCCUUCAGGGUCGCAUGUGGCAGCUGCCCUCUUGGCUGACACCAGCGAUCAACCAGGGAUCUCCAUAGCUGAGGGCCUGAGCUAGACUUUGCACUGGGAGUUGCAACAGACUCCCAGCCUCUGGAGACCGGGCACAGCUGGGGACGCCUGACACACCCUGACAAGUGGUUUACACCGAAGCUUGCUAGGCGGCUGGAUGGGCCUGACCCUAGCUUGGCCAAACAAGGUGCUGUGGAGCAGCACAAUAAGCUCCCAUCCCCCCCAGAGGAUAAGCAUGUUGACACUGCAUCCAUCUGAGACCCCACAUCAGGUCUGGGGACCUCAAAAGGCGCCAAUCCCUGAUCUCCCUGUGGCCCGACAGAGCAAGACCCAGUCACUGAGCUGGCCCAACACCCACUGAUGCUCAUGAGUAACCCACUCAAAAGACCUGCCAGCAGCAUCUUGAAGAUGUCAGGGACAAUGUUGCGUGCUCUGCUACUGCACAGAGUACAAGUUACCUGCCCACCCCACACUCUGAGCUGUCUUGUCCCAGUGGCAUAGGUAGUGUGUGCUAACGAAUGGAGCGUAGACCUCAGAGCCAGGAACAGCUCAGUUCUAACCCACCACUGAUGCUGACUCCCUGUAGCCCUAGCAAAGUCACGUAGCCUCACUGCUUCAGUGUCUCUCAGUAUAACAAGGGACUAAUGCCCAUCUCAGGGGGGUGGGGGAGAGUUUCAUUAGUGUCUGCAAAGGGCUUUUUAAGUGCUGGAGAUGCUGAUUUAUAAACAGAAGCCAAGUCACGUUCCCCUGGAACUACCCAGUGGAGGCGCCAUCCUGCCAGGCAGGAAGGGAAGGACAUUGUGGAGAAUACACUGAAAGUGUGAAGCUACAAGCAAACACCGCAGCCAUUCUCAGCUCUGUCCUCUGUGACGGUAAAACAUGUUUGCACCAUGUACAACAUCACCCACCGUGUCACUAAUAAAGCUCACCAAACGCUG